Molecule: ribosomal RNA, 298 nt
Filed under: uncultured Sphingomonadaceae bacterium
Lineage: Bacteria; Pseudomonadati; Pseudomonadota; Alphaproteobacteria; Sphingomonadales; Sphingomonadaceae
Description: partial 16S ribosomal RNA
Rfam family: Bacterial small subunit ribosomal RNA
Source: RNAcentral
UAACGCGUGGGAAUCUGCCUAUCAGUGGGGAAUAACGACGGGAAACUGUCGCUAAUACCGCAUACGCCCUUAGGGGGAAAGAUUUAUCGCUGAUAGAUGAGCCCGCGUACGAUUAGCUAGUUGGUGAGGUAAUGGCUCACCAAGGCUACGAUCGUUAGCUGGUCUGAGAGGAUGAUCAGCCCCACUGGGACUGAGACACGGCCCAGGCUCCUACGGGAGGCAGCAGUGGGGAAUAUUGGACAAUGGGCGAAACCCUGAUCCAGCAAUGCCGCGUGAGUGAUGAAGGCCUUAGGGUUGU